UACGGGGGGAGCAAGCGUUGUUCGGAUUUACUGGGCGUAAAGGGCGCGUAGGCGGCGUGACAAGUCACUUGUGAAAUCUCCGGGCUUAACUCGGAACGGUCAAGUGAUACUGUCGUGCUAGAGUACAGAAGGGGCAACUGGAAUUCUCGGUGUAGCGGUGAAAUGCGUAGAUAUCGAGAGAAACACCUGCGGCGAAGGCGGGUUGCUGGGCUGAUACUGACGCUGAGGCGCGAAAGCCAGGGGAGCGAACGGG
RNAcentral lists this ribosomal RNA (253 nucleotides) under uncultured bacterium. RNAcentral's name for it is "partial 16S ribosomal RNA". It matches the Rfam family "Bacterial small subunit ribosomal RNA", at positions 524 to 776 of the family's 1533-position model. The record is from RNAcentral.